GACGAACGCUGGCGGCGUGCCUAAUACAUGCAAGUAGAACGCACAGUUUAUACCGUAGCUUGCUACACCAUAGACUGUGAGUUGCGAACGGGUGAGUAACGCGUAGGUAACCUGCCUGGUAGCGGGGGAUAACUAUUGGAAACGAUAGCUAAUACCGCAUAAUAUUAAUUAUUGCAUGAUAAUUAAUUGAAAGGGGCAAUUGCACCACUACCAGAUGGACCUGCGUUGUAUUAGCUAGUAGGUGAGGUAACGGCGCACCUAGGCGAGGAUACAUAGCCGACCUGAGAGGGUGAGCGGCCACACUGGGACUGAGACACGGCCCAGACUCCUACGGGAGGCAGCAGUAGGGAAUCUUCGGCAAUGGCAGAAAGUCUGACCGAGCAACGCCGCGUGAGUGAAGAAGGUUUUCGGAUCGUAGAGCUCUGUUGUAAGAGAAGAACGGGUGUGAGAGUGGAAAGUUCACACUGUGACGGUAGCGUACCAGAAAGGGACGGCUAACUACGUG
Molecule: ribosomal RNA, 505 nt
Filed under: uncultured bacterium
Lineage: Bacteria
Description: partial 16S ribosomal RNA
Rfam family: Bacterial small subunit ribosomal RNA
Source: RNAcentral